Molecule: ribosomal RNA, 500 nt
Filed under: uncultured bacterium
Lineage: Bacteria
Description: partial 16S ribosomal RNA
Rfam family: Bacterial small subunit ribosomal RNA
Source: RNAcentral
AUUGAACGCUGGCGGAAUGCUUUACACAUGCAAGUCGAACGGCAGCACGGACUUCGGUCUGGUGGCGAGUGGCGAACGGGUGAGUAAUGUAUCGGAACGCGCCCAGUCGUGGGGGAUAACGUAGCGAAAGUUACGCUAAUACCGCAUACGAUCUAAGGAUGAAAGCGGGGGAUCGCAAGACCUCGCGCGAUUGGAGCGGCCGAUAUUAGAUUAGGUAGUUGGGGGGGUAAAGGCUCACCAAGCCAACGAUCUGUAGCUGGUCUGAGAGGACGACCAGCCACACUGGAACUGAGACACGGUCCAGACUCCUACGGGAGGCAGCAGUGGGGAAUUUUGGACAAUGGACGCAAGUCUGAUCCAGCCAUUCCGCGUGCAGGAUGAAGGCCCUCGGGUUGUAAACUGCUUUUGUACGGAACGAAAAGGUCUCUCUUAAUACGGGGGGCUCAUGACGGUACCGUAAGAAUAAGCACCGGCUAACUACGUGCCAGCCGCCGCUGUAA